Molecule: long non-coding RNA, 1123 nt
Organism: Bubalus bubalis (water buffalo)
Lineage: Eukaryota; Metazoa; Chordata; Mammalia; Artiodactyla; Bovidae
Exons: 2
Source: RefSeq, a predicted model, not a curated record
UUGUUCUCCGGGGGAUCUUCCCAAACCAGGGAUCAAACUCGCAUCUCCUGUGUCUCUUGCAUUGCAGGCAGAUUCUUUACCACUGUGACACCUGGGAAGCCCAAGCCACGUGCUACCCCACACUUAACGCACUGCAUCCAAUACCCUCCCACCAAGCACCGAGCAUGAGUCUCCCACUGUGCACCAGGAAUGGGCACAUCCAGAAAAAGCCGUAUGAAAAAUCCCAAGGAAAUGCCACAGCAUAGGUCCUAAUCCCUGCCUGUUCUCCCAGCCAGUUCUGUGGAUCCUAACAAACUUCUGGACUUCUCUGGGCCUCCAUUAACUCACUGGAGAAAUGAGGCUUAAUGGGGACAGAUGAAGAAAAACUCUUCAACAAAGGGAAAAACAUUUUUCAAAGGAGUAGAAUGCCGGACCAGAUGGUAGCUACCUAGCACUGAUGAGAUGCUUCCAAAGUUUGCCCCAGGAGAGGGCACUGAAGCAACUUAUUACCUUGGAGGCAAGAAGAAGCAAAGCAGAGAACGUGAACGUGUCAAAGAAACAGUGGGCUAUAGAUCUUGCUAUAUGCCAACUUCACAAAGCACUGAAACGUCUACCCUGGGACUUGACUUCUAACUAACUGUGUGAUCUCAGAUAAGCUCCCCAAACUGCUCUGAGCCUCAGUUUCCUUGUCAGUAAAACGGAGGUAACACACCUGUCCAGCUUGCAUCGUGCUACAGUGCUGCUUUGAGCAUCAAAUGAAAGAAAGCUUGUGAACUGUUUUGUAGGCCAAUAAUUACACAAAUGUAGUGGUAACGGUAAUAAGAAAAUGACUGGAAGUCUAAACAGAAUUUCAGACCUCCAUAAACUACACGUGCCUCCUCCAAAGACCCGGGGCUGCCUCCCCAGAAAGUCAGUGCUAUCAUUUAAGCAUUUCUCUCAAGUGCUCAGGAAUCGUUCCUUCUGAUUCCACAUGACAGAGUCACCCAGGGCUCUCCCUCCCAAAGGAAGCACCUGGAGAGGUGGAUCCUCAAAGGCCACACAUGAACUGAAGCUAAAACCUGGGUCUGAACUAUUGGGAAAAUAUGAGCGCUUUAAUCCACGCAUUUGAAAGCAUUAAUUAAUGAUCCCAUCCCUGCUUCUUCCU